UGAGGUAGUAGGUUGUGUGGUUGG
RNAcentral lists this non-coding RNA (24 nucleotides) under Macaca fascicularis (crab-eating macaque). The record is from RNAcentral. RNAcentral also lists the same sequence under 5 other names. Lineage: Eukaryota; Metazoa; Chordata; Mammalia; Primates; Cercopithecidae.